GGUGGUGGUUUGUUAUAUUUAUUUGCGUAUUUAUUUUUGCGGUGGGAGGGUGUAUUAACGGGUUAGCACUGAUUGACUAGCACGUUAUUUUUUCGCGGAUUAGCGAAGUAAUAUUUUGGUUUUAAUUAAUAUGGAUUUCCGCAAAGUAACGCCUGAUUCUAUUCAUUAUUU
Cydia amplana is the source of this 171-nucleotide long non-coding RNA. RefSeq lists it as uncharacterized. NCBI's taxonomy places the organism in Eukaryota, Metazoa, Arthropoda, Insecta, Lepidoptera, Tortricidae. The record is from RefSeq and is a predicted model, not a curated record. The transcript is spliced from 2 exons.